CCAAGGAGCGGGCCGGAGCACCGGUUUCAAAGUCGCAGGGCGGGCCGUGUGAACGUCCCUUGCCAGCCCGGGCCAUCCUGGAGUCGCCACCCACUCCAUAAAGGACGCAGCCACCCGGAUUCCCGCCGGCUCCCUCCAAUCUCUCCUAAGUGCCCCGGCGCGACCCGGAGUGACCCGCGAGACGCCUAUAUCCAGCCGUGUCCCAGUCCGACCCGGCUGAGAGUCGUGUGAACGUGGAGCAGAAUUCACUUGGCGGGUCCCCAGCCAACCUGAAAUCUGGUCUCUCUCCUGAGCGAGGGACUCGGCUGGGACUUAGGAGGAGGAGGCGCGGCGGCGUGAGUAGGAUGCUAAUUACACAGCUUGACAACCUCCAGACCGUUGUCUUAAUUUUGUUUUCCCGCACAGCGAGCUCUGUGUGUUUUUGAAGAAACUCAAGGUGGUGAAAAGCUCCAAACCUAGUUAUUGUCGAAAUGGCCACAGAAAUCGACUUUCUGAGAGAUCAAAAUCGAAGACUAAAUGAAGUUAUUAGGCGAUAUCAAAUGGAAAAUUUUUCCAAAUAUUCAUCAAUACAGAAAGCUGUCUUCAAAGGAGAGGGAGAUGACACACUAGGAAACUCAGUAGUCGACCAAAGCUUUUUAGCACCUCUUAUUACUGAAUAUGAUAAACAUCUGGAAGAGCUACAUGAGCAGCUGAAAUAUUAUCAGAAACAAAUGAGUGAGAUGAAACUACAACUUGAAAAUGUCAUCAAGGAAAAUGAAAGGUUGCACAGUGAAUUAAAAGAUGGUGUUGAAAAGCAACUGGAGGCCCUUCCCUUUAGUACAGAGUUGGGAAAUGAUAUAUAUACAGAUGAUGAAACAGUCAGGAAUCUUCAAGAACAAUUAAAACUAGCCAAUCAAGAAAAAAAUCAGGCUGUAGAACUCUGGCAGACUGUCUCUCAAGAGUUGGACAGACUUCAGAAACUUUACCAGGAAUAUAUGACUGAGGCCCAGAUUCACGUAGCUGAAAGUCAAAAACAAAAGGAUCAGCUGACCAAUUUUCAACAACUGACUAAGCAACUUCACGUUGCUAAUGAGAACAUAGAAACGACUAACCAACACUUUCUGAAAACAGUAACUGAGCAAACAGUGGAAAUCGAGCAACUCCGAAAACAACUUAGGAAAGCCAAGUUAGAUCUGAGAGUUGCAGUAGCAAAAGUGGAAGAGUUAACUAAAGUGACUGAAGAUUUUCACGAACAGAUGAAAAAGAAGGAGGAGGACGUGGUGUCUGCCCAAGGAAGAGAGGAAGCAUCAGAUAGGCGUUUACAUCAGUUACAAUCUAGUAUAAAACAAUUAGAAACAAGAUUAUGUGUGGCCAUCCAAGAAGCCACCCAAUUAAGAACAGAAAACACACAUUUGAGAAAACAGACUAGAGAUUUGAAAGCAGGGUACACUGAAUUAGAAAUUGAGAAGUAUGAAGCCAUUCUAAGAGCCAGGAACAGCAUGCAACUCCUAGAAGAAGCUAACCUGCAAAAAAGUCAGGCUCUCAUUGUGGAGAAGCAAAAAGAAGAAAAUCUAGAGAAAAUGAAAGAAACAAUGUCUCUGCUUAUGGAAAACGCUUCCAAACUAACCAGGAAGGAAGUUGAAAACACAAGAAAACAAUCUAAUGUACAGAUUUCUCAACUAACAGCAGAAGUUUCAGCACUUCAUAUGGAGUGUGCUGAAAAACAAGGCCAAAUUGAACGAGCCAUGAGGGAGAAAAAAGCAGUGGAAGAAGAACUAGAAAAGAUUUAUCGUGAAGGCAUAGCGAAUGAAAGCGAUUACAGAAAACUGGAAGAAAUGCACCGAAGAUGCCUGGCUGCAGAGAGAUCAAAAGAUGAUCUUCAGCUAAGACUUAAGACAGCAGAAAAUAAAAUAAAGCAGCUUGAAAUAAAUUCCUCAGAAGAAAUAUCACGUUGCCAGGAAAUGAUUCAGAAUCUUCAAAAUAUACUGGUGUCUGAGAGAGAGAGCUGUGGAUUUGUCAGUGAACAAAGGCUAAAACUUCAGCAAGAAAAUGAACAACUACAGAAGGAGACUGAGGAGCUAAGGAAAAUUGCUCUCGAGGCUCAAAAAAAAGCAAAAUUCAAGAUCAGUACAAUGGAACAUGAAUUUUCAAUAAAGGAACAUGGGUUUGAAGUUCAGUUGAGAGAGAUGGAAGACAGUAAUCGGAAUUCCACCAUUGAACUGAGGCAUCUCUUAGCGGUUCAACAGAAGACAGCCAACAGGUGGAAAGAAGAAACAAAGAAGCUUACUGAAAGUGCAGAAAUGAGAAUCAGUAAUCUAAAGAGUGAGCUGAGUCGACAGAAGCUUCAUACUCAAGACCUGCUUUCUCAGCUGGAAAUGGCGAAUGAAAAGGUAGCUGAGAGUGAAAAGUUAAUUCUAGAGCAGCAAGAAAAAGCCAGCAGACUUCAGAAGCGUCUAAGUCAGGCGGAGCAGAGAGCGGCCUCUGCUUCCCAGCAGCUCAGUAUGAUUACAGUGCAGAGAAGAAAAGCAGCCUCCAUGAUAAAUCUGGAAAAUAUUUAAAAAUAGUCAUCGUUCACUCACAGAACGUUGGCGUGGGGACGGCUGUUGGACCAGCAGUGCACGGAAGCAGUCAGACCUGCAGAGAGUGGUUGGGCCUGUGUCGUCUGCAUAAGCAUUUUCCAUUCUGUUUUGAGGGUUAUUGGAAAACAACAGAACGGUGACAGCUUCCUCUCAUCGGCCUCCGUCCCCACACAGGGUCUGCUCGUACUGUGACAUAUGUGCUUUCUUCACAUCACCGCUCAAGCAUCGCUGCCUCAGAGAGCCUUCCUUCGCCUCCACACUGGGUUAGGUCCCCUGUUGUAUUGCUCUGAAUAGUGUGCUAUAUUUUUCCUUCAUAGUGCUUAUCAAAACUUGUAAUUAACCUUUCGAAUUUUUUUGUCUAAGGUCAUCUCGACAGACUGUGAGCUCCUUGAGAGCAGGACCCAUCACUAUAGUCUUAGCACUCAAUGGAGUUCUUGGCACAUGGAGGGUAUUCGGUACCUGUUCAGACUCUGACAAUGAGUGUUUAAGGACAGGAUCUCAGAAAAUGUCUUCAUUUGUUGAGUGAGCUCAGGAAGAGGCUGAGCUUAGGGAAGGAGACUGAAGAGGAGCAGUGAGAGAGCUGUUAAUCAUGGGAAUCCAAUGGGAGAAAGACUAGAGGGAGGAAAUCGGGUCUUCUAAGUAGGAGGCAAAUGACUGCUAGUGUCAAGUGCAGUGAUUGAGACAAACAGCACCAACAAGACCGUUAGCUGGUGACUAGAGAGGAGGCGCUUAGCUUAGUUCCAUUUCGCAAGGGAUGUUUCAUUGGAUUCUCUAAUGCAAACUCCUUCCCAUGUCAUUCACAGACUAAUUCCCAUGUAGUAAGAGUUAUGUUCAUUUUCAUAUAGGAUGUGGAACUUAUUUUUUAAAACGUUUAAUUAGAGAUGUUAAAAUUAUAUCUGACCAAAAAAAAUGAGACUGUAGGAGAAAGCACUUCAGAAACUUAACAUUCUAGACAAACAGAAUGUUAAGUACUAUUAUCCUUUUUCCAAAAGAAAAUCUAACUUCCCAGACUCAUUUCUUCAAGGCAAAACCUUUAACACGAGCAUUUCCUCCAAACUGCGGCUUCUAGGCACCUACUUCUUACACUUCAAUAUUAAUAACCCUCUCUGGAGGCCUCCUUCAUGAAUACUCCUAGGACAAGACAGGCUACUAAUAUGCAGAGAAUAGGCCUUUCUCACCUCUGUUGAAUUUGAACAGACUUAAGGUAUGUUUAGCAACAGAGCUGAGCACGUAUGGUUAUUUCUUUGUAGAAAAGUUUGUUAGCUAAUAAUUUCUAAUGUAAAAAUGUAGGGAAGUUCUUGAUAUUUCUCAUGUUGGUCAGUUUUGACUUCAUGGACACAGACAGUAUCAUUUAUUCUGUGAACUGUGUUUUAGGAGACAGGGGAGAUGAAUAAGAAAGAGAGAAAAGGAAUUAUAUAAAUCUGAAAUUGGGGACAACACAGCUAGUUCAUUUUAUUUAUUCAUGUUUCUUUAUUGUGUCUCCCUGAGAAAGAAAAGAUAUGAUUACCUCUUCUUCUCUUUGUAUACAAAUAUGCAAAUUGGGGCAGCCAACAAUCUUCUAACUUCUCUGGUGUGAGAACUACCCCAAAUAUGGGAGAACAUUAGCUACAAUUCAGUCAUUCGUUUAUUCAGCAAAUAUGAAUAUUUCAUAGCUGCACAGUC
RNA transcript from Hipposideros armiger (great roundleaf bat), 4220 nucleotides. It is a transcript of the gene named sodium channel and clathrin linker 1, with no coding region annotated. The record is from RefSeq and is a predicted model, not a curated record. NCBI's taxonomy places the organism in Eukaryota, Metazoa, Chordata, Mammalia, Chiroptera, Hipposideridae. The transcript has 22 exons.